This 253-nucleotide ribosomal RNA is filed under the name uncultured bacterium. RNAcentral's name for it is "partial 16S ribosomal RNA". It matches the Rfam family "Bacterial small subunit ribosomal RNA", at positions 524 to 776 of the family's 1533-position model. The record is from RNAcentral.
UACGUAGGGUGCGAGCGUUAAUCGGAAUUACUGGGCGUAAAGCGUGCGCAGGCGGUUCGUUGUGUCCGAUGUGAAAGCCCAGGGCUCAACCCUGGAAGUGCACUCGAUACUGUAUGGCUCGAGUACUGGAGAGGUUGGUGGAAUUCUCGGUGUAGAGGUGAAAUUCGUAGAUAUCGAGAGGAACACCGGUGGCGAAGGCGGCCAACUGGACAGAUACUGACGCUGAGACACGAAAGCGUGGGGAGCAAACAGG